CCUACGGGUGGCAGCAGUGGGGAAUAUUGCACAAUGGGGGAAACCCUGAUGCAGCGACGCCGCGUGUGUGAAGAAGUAAUUCGGUAUGUAAAGCUUUAUCAGCAGGGAAGAAAAUGACGGUAACUGAGUAAGAAGCCCCGGCUAACUACGGGCCCGCAGCCGCGGUAAUACGGAGGGGGCCAGCGUUAUCCGGAUUUACUGGGUGUAAAGGGAGCGUAGACGGGAGUGCAAGUCUGGUGUGAAAGGCCGGGGCUCAACCCACGGACUGCACUGAAAACUGUACGGCUUGAGUGCAGGAGAGGUAAGUGGAAUUCCUAGUGUAGCGGUGAAAUGCGUAGAUAUUAGGAGGAACACCAGUGGCGAAGGCGACUUACUGGACUGUAACUGACGUUGAGGCUCGAAAGCGUGGGGAGCAAACAGGAUUAGAUACCCCUGUAGUC
This 440-nucleotide ribosomal RNA is filed under the name uncultured bacterium. Its description in RNAcentral is "partial 16S ribosomal RNA". It matches the Rfam family "Bacterial small subunit ribosomal RNA", at positions 338 to 795 of the family's 1533-position model. The record is from RNAcentral.